This 492-nucleotide ribosomal RNA is filed under the name uncultured bacterium. Its description in RNAcentral is "partial 16S ribosomal RNA". It matches the Rfam family "Bacterial small subunit ribosomal RNA", at positions 29 to 507 of the family's 1533-position model. The record is from RNAcentral.
AGUGAACGCUGGCGGCAGGCCUAACACAUGCAAGUUGAACGGCAGCACAGUGAGAGCUUGUUUUUACGGGUGGUGAGUGGCGGACGGGUGAGGAACACAUCGGAAUCUACCCUUUCGUGGGGGAAAAAGUAGGGAAAAUCAUGCUAAUUACGCAUACGACCUUAGGGUGAAAGUAGGGGCACUUCGGAACUUGCGCGACUGUAUGAGCUGACUUCGGAUUAGCUAGUUGGCGGGGUAAAGGCCCACCAGGGCGACGAUCCGUAGCUGGUCUGAGAGGAUGAUCAGCCGCACUGGAACUGGGACACGGUCCAGACUCCGACGGGAGGCAGCGGUGAGGAAUAUUGGGCAAUGGGCACAAGCCUAAAUCAGCCAUACCACGAGGGUGAAGAGGACCUUCGGGGUGUAUAGCCCUUUUGUUGUGAGAGUGUAGCAUCAGGUUGUUACCCCACUGUUCUGACGGUACCCAAAGAAUAAGCUCCGGCUAACUUCGUG